GAUGAACGCUAGCGGCAGGCUUAACACAUGCAAGUCGAGGGGCAACACGGGUAGCAAUACCUGGUGGCGACCGGCGCAAGGGUGCGUAACGCGUGAGCAACAUGCCCUAUACAGGGGGAUAAUCCAGGGAAACUUGGUCUAAUAUCCCAUAGCAUUUAGAGGUGGCAUCACCAUUAAAUUAAAGCUUCGGUGGUAUAGGAUUGGCUCGCGUGACAUUAGCUAGAUGGUGGGGUAACGGCUCACCAUGGCUAUGAUGUCUAGGGGUUCUGAGAGGAAGACCCCCCACACUGGGACUGAGACACGGCCCAGACUCCUACGGGAGGCAGCAGUGAGGAAUAUUGGACAAUGGAUGGAAAUCUGAUCCAGCCAUGCCGCGUGCAGGAAGACGGCCCUAUGGGUUGUAAACUGCUUUUAUAUGGGAGCAAUAAGGUCUACGAGUAGACCGAUGAGAGUACCAUAUGAAUAAGCAUCGGCUAA
Molecule: ribosomal RNA, 477 nt
Filed under: uncultured bacterium
Lineage: Bacteria
Description: bacterial SSU rRNA
Rfam family: Bacterial small subunit ribosomal RNA
Source: RNAcentral